Long non-coding RNA from Perognathus longimembris pacificus (Pacific pocket mouse), 2015 nucleotides. RefSeq lists it as uncharacterized. The record is from RefSeq and is a predicted model, not a curated record. The transcript has 3 exons. NCBI's taxonomy places the organism in Eukaryota, Metazoa, Chordata, Mammalia, Rodentia, Heteromyidae.
AGCAACUCCAGGCCAGCCAGCCCUUCUCUUUUGUCAGGCAUCCCUUUAACUUUGUCUUUCCUCCAGCAGUUCUGUCUGGGUAGCACCAUAGCUUGAGGUCCAGAUGUGCUGGCUUUUAUAACAGGACCACUCUGGACUUGGGAGGGCGUGAAGAUUUCACGACAGAAAUAUCAGAUACCCAGCAGGGCCGCGCGGAUAGAUGGACGCAUGCGCGCAGGUGUGCAGGUGUGCACACACCUGCCGGCUUGAACCACGUCCAAGGCCGGUGUGUGGUUGGUGAGGUUUGUCUUCUGCUGUGUCCGGGAAGGGAGACACGCUCUCCCCUGUGGCUUUGCCCUGGAGGAGCCGGCCCCAUCAGAUCAUUUAUAACAAAUUUCAGUUCAGGCUCCUGGACGGGGAGGCCAGCCGGGGGCCGGGGGCCGGGGGCCGGGGAGGAAGGUGCGGGGCUGUGGCCUCCGGAGGUAUGUGAGGAAUGUUAAUGGCAUGCUUGAGUGGCGGAUGCCGAGCUCGGAGCCCUGUUCUUGUGGCUUUCUGUUGUGGUCCUGGGGUGUCCUAGCAACAGCUCUGGCUGCAUCCCAAGAAUGCCCCCCUCCCUUUUAAAUUAAAAUUAGCUAACUCACCCCCUCCCCCCCCCCCAAAAAAAAAAAGAAAAAAAAACUUGCUCUGCUGCGCAAGAAGAAUCGGGGUAGGAUUCAGAUUCUUUCUUCAGCAUGAUAAGCUUUUAAGGAAGAAAAGGCCUGCAUCCUUAAUUCUUGCUCUUUAAAUGAGCAAUUUGUACUUCUGGUUGAGAUCUACAUUCCCCCUGGGGUAGAAUUCUUUUUCUUUUUCUUUGGAAAAGAAUGGAGGUGAACACAAGUUUCUAAAGCUGUGGGCAAAGUCAUUAGCAAAAAUAUGCUUGGAAAAAAAAUGUAGUUAGUGGUUGGAGAUUUUCCCAGUCCUCGUUGCUUCUUAGCAAUUCUGUGGGCAGCUACAUUUUUCCCCUUGUGAUAAUGUAAGCUUUAUAAGCCUGGCUGUUCAGGUGACAGGAAAUUCAAACAGAUGCUAAUUGUACUCAUUGUACCCGAGUGGUGUGUGUUUGGGCUCCAAUAAAAGUCUUAGAUCUGGGUAACAGCUGGCCACAGAAAAAGAGGGAAGGGAACUAACUACUCUUGGUAGUUUUAAGUUGUAAUUGGUUAGACAUUAAAUUAGCCACCUACAAAAACCGAGGGUGUCUCAGGAUUAGAGAUCACUACAAAAUAAUAACCCCCUGCAACCUGGGCUGGCACGAUAGGUGGGCAGGAAAAGAUUGGGAUUCUCUUUGCUCACUGCCCGCCCUGGGUUGGAAGGGCCAGUCCUUGUCUGAUUGCCGGCAGUGUUCGGAAGGCUCAGCGCCAUCACACACAAGAGACUUGGAAGCAGUCUGAGGGUCAGAAUGAUGACUAUGCAGGAGGAUUCUGCGCUGUCUUGCUGCCCCACAACCCUGGGAGAAUGUGCUCAAGAACUUUUUUCUGCCCUUCAGUUUUUAGCUUGACAUACUUCCCUCAACUCUUGGGAAAUCAGAUUUCACAGUGGACCACGAUCCCCCGCCCUAUCUAGCGCCUUUGUAGCUGGGAUUGCAGAUAGGCUCCCCCACCCUCAGCUUGUUGUUUGAGGUAGUCCUCACUAACGUUCGUCUGGGCUGACAUCCAGCUACAAUCCUAUCUCUGCUUCCCAAGUGGCUGCAAUUACAGGCAUGAGCCACCGUGUCCCUCCAGCCUUGGCCUCUUACAAUAUUCAAUGUUAUCAACUAGUUAGGUUCUGACGUGCCUUAUUUUUAUUUACGUUUUUAAAAAUCAGUAUAUCUUAAUGAUACCAAGUGCCAUCGUGGUAUUUCCACACGUGUGUACUGCAUCAUAAGCGAAGUGUUUAGGGUUUGAGCAGACAAUGAGCCAAGAUGGAGCCACCUUUCUGAAAAGCAGGCAAACCUGAGAGGGCCGUGGUUCACUGGGAGGGAAGGGAGGGAGAGAGGACAUAGAGACACGGAGAGAGAGGGGGAG